UAUACAGUCAAAGGUUAUCUGUUUGGAUAAUUUGAGACUGCUUCUGGAAACGUUUCAGCUGUGGCAAAUGGUAAAUCAUCCCUUGGCGGAAAGGACACAGGGAUGAGUGCCAUCCUCCACCUGUUGAUCAUUUUAAAGGCCAGCCUCAUUUUGCAGAUUUAAAAGGAGGGCAAGCUGAAAGGAAUGAUGAGCACUGCAGUGCUUAUCAAAAUAUCUCUAUUAUGAAUUCUGGCCAAGCUGAAGAAACAAUCAUUGGCGACAGCAGGCCAGAGAUUGAUGGAAAACUAGAUGAUGUGGAAUCUUUUGAAACAUCCUUCAAUUAAUCAGUGCCAUCAAAGUCUGAUCUCUCUUCAGAAACAUACAGUCAGAUUGGCAAUGUUAGGCAGAAAUCUUCUGCAAGUACUUCUGGAAAGCAAUUUGCUACUUCUUUGAUCGACUCCUCUGCUUCUGCUGACUGCACAUUGCCCAGCCUUGGAGAGAUCCCUCAUGUUGCUACUUCAAAUGCGGGCCUUACUGGAGCACAAUCUGGACAGCAUUCCAACGCAAGUUCUUCUUAUGUUUCCUUUACUAACCCAAAGAAAUCUUUUUGCACUAUUCUUGAGAGCUCUAGAACUUUUGUUGGUUCUGAGAAGGUAAAUCUUCCAUCCUUUCCAUAUGGGAUAGCGAGUGCAAACAUUUUUUAUAAUGCCUCCUCAAAUGACUUUAAACUGCAGUCGACUUUUAUAAUGAGGAAGCUAAGUGCAAGUUGAAUGGUCCUUCAAAUAUGAAGUCCUCUAGCUCAAACAGAUCCUUGAAUGUUCGGCUUUGUCAGACUAGUAACUCUAGGACUACUACUUUAUGUUCCAAAACAUUAGAUAAAUUUGAAAAUAAUUUUUCUGAUAACCAUAAUGAAUGCCAGGAGACUGCAGUUGAAAUUGUCGGAUCUGCUGAUAUAAAUGAAUCCCAUACUCACAAAAAUAAUCAAACUCAGGUGGAUGCUAUGCUUCAUUCAAAAGGGUCUCUUAAUGUUUCUAACUCAAAAUCCUUUUCAUCCACAGCAAGUCCAGCUACACUUGAGCCUACAGCUACAAAAGACUCAAGCUUUGAAAAAUCAUGUAGUGUUACUUAUGGGGAGAAAAAUAAAGAACAGUUCAAGUUUUUAUCUUCUUCCUUUGACGAUAAUUUAUCUCCAUUAGUUCAAGGUACAACAUUGUAAGAGAAGGGCCUCAUGUUGUUGAAAAUGAUCCUCAUGUUUCAACCAAAUCAUUAGAGGUUUCCAACUCUUUAUUAAAUGGUAAGAUAUUUGUCGGCAAACGUGCUAGACAAAUUUCAUCAUCACCACUUAGGCAUGUUCAGCCAGGGGCUUGUAACUAUGGAUCUCUUAAAUACAACUAUAAGAUGCUUUUUGCGUACGACCUCUUCAUCAAGCUUUACAACUCUGAUAAGGUGUGGUUGAACCCCUGUGGUCUGAUUAACUGUGGUAUUAGAUCAACUGCCUCUGAGUUCAAUGCUUCAUGAUUUUCGUUAAAAUGACGAAUCAUCAUCAUCGUCAUUAGGGAAGACUAGCUAGGAAGCUGCGAGUAAUUGUUCGCCAUUAUGAACAACAUUGCACUCAACCAUUUCUGUUUCCAGUCUGCAGACGUAACUAUCAGGCAAAUUGCAGGCGGCAGGCUACCAACUUGCGUUGCCAUCAUCACCGCACAGCGACUCCAACCAACUAAAUCUUUCAAUGUCGAUGAGCCGUUCACAUGUGCGAGUGGCCCCAACCGCGCCAGACAAGCCCCGCCAUUAGAGUCCACCCAGCUUUUAUCCCUGCUUGGCUUCUAGUCUUCUUCUACGCCUUUCUCUUCUCCAAGUUCAAAUUUCAAACCAUGCAUAGAGUACCACGUCGUUCAACAAAAUUCCAGAUUUGACCCAAAGCCAUUUAUCAAUCGACAACUCAUAAGGACACCUCUCCCCUCUUUCUCUCUAUCCCCAUCUCUUUCUCUUUCUUCCCAUUAUUCACAGUAGAAAAGAGGGCACUUCAGAUCUGAAAGAAAUGAAAUUAAAUUACCAA
Molecule: long non-coding RNA, 2035 nt
Organism: Dendrobium catenatum
Lineage: Eukaryota; Viridiplantae; Streptophyta; Magnoliopsida; Asparagales; Orchidaceae
Exons: 4
Source: RefSeq, a predicted model, not a curated record